This 451-nucleotide ribosomal RNA is filed under the name Nerita quadricolor. RNAcentral describes it as "partial 16S ribosomal RNA". It matches the Rfam family "Bacterial large subunit ribosomal RNA", at positions 1913 to 2597 of the family's 2925-position model. Lineage: Eukaryota; Metazoa; Mollusca; Gastropoda; Cycloneritida; Neritidae. The record is from RNAcentral.
CAGUGAUCACUUUAACGGCCGCGGUACCCUGACCGUGCAAAGGUAGCAUAAUCAUUUGCCUUUUAAUUGGAGGCUAGUAUGAAUGGUCUAACGAGAGUAAAACUGUCUCAUAUAUAUUUAAUAGAAAUUAACCUAAAGGUGCAAAGGCCUUUAUCUAUCAAAAAGACGAGAAGACCCUGUUGAGCUUUAAUCCAGCAUUUUCCCUAUAUUUAUAAAUUUAUUUUGCUCAUUAAAGAUUUUAAUUGGGGCGAUUAAGGAACACCUACGAGCUUCCUGAAAAAUUAAAUCGAUCCAGCAAUGCUGAUCAACAAAACGAGUUACCACAGGGAUAACAGCAUAAUUCUUCUUAAGAGCCCAUAUCGAAAGAAGAGAUUGUGACCUCGAUGUUGGACUAGGGUAACUAGAAGGUGCAGCCGCUUUCUUGUUUGGUCUGUUCGACCAAUAAUUCCCU